ACAUGAUGAGAUAUAUAGCUGGCACCAGUCCUAGAAAGAUUUGUUCUCUGUUCACUGCGGACUUGCUUGCAACGGGUCGCUUCGUCGGCCCAACGCUCUGAU
Molecule: small nucleolar RNA, 102 nt
Rfam family: A. fumigatus snoRNA Afu_190
Source: Rfam